RNAcentral lists this non-coding RNA (242 nucleotides) under Lachnoclostridium sp. RNAcentral describes it as "T-box sequence". It matches the Rfam family "T-box leader". From Rfam's summary of the family: Uncharged tRNA acts as the effector for transcription antitermination of genes in the T-box leader family. T-boxes are found upstream of many aminoacyl-tRNA synthetase genes and some amino acid biosynthetic genes usually in Gram-positive bacteria. The record is from RNAcentral. Lineage: Bacteria; Bacillati; Bacillota; Clostridia; Lachnospirales; Lachnospiraceae.
AGAAAAGCUAUGAUCGUGUAAAGUAGAGACCCAUUUUCUAUCAGAGAGAGAAAAUCACCGGCUGCAAGUUUUCUUUAGUUCAGAUGGCGAUCGAAUUUCCCACGUUAGCUGCGCUUUUGAACGGUCCGCAGGGCGGAUCAGUAGACUGCGCCGUAGAUCGUACGUUACACAUACCGAGUGCCCGCGCGUUUUUUGCGUGGGAAACAGGGUGGUACCGCGGGUGAUACAGCCUCGUCCCUAUU